GGGCCCGCCCCGCCGCGGCUGCGGCGCUGGAAGCCCCGGUCCUCCCGGAAGUUCCCGGCUCUGCCUGUCGGGCUCCGGUUCUGCGCCGCGGAGGGGCCCAGGGCUGCGGGGAUGGCGGAGGCGGUGCUGCUGCUGCCGCCCGAGGCGGUGGCCGAGCGGGACGCCCGCGAGAAGCUGUCUCUCUGGGAUGGGAGACCCGACUCGAUGGCGCCGCUGACAGACAAGCAGACGGACUCGGUGCUGGAGCUCAAGGCGGCCGUGGAGAACCUGCCGGUGCCGGCGGAGCUCCCAAUUGAAGAUGUAUGCAGCUUAGCAUCCCAGUCGCUGCCCAUUGAGCUGACUGCUGUAGUGCCUGACUCUACAGAAGACAUCCUGUUAAAGGGCUUCACUUCCUUAGGAAUGGAAGAAGAAAGGAUUGAGACUGCGCAGCAGUUUUUCUCAUGGUUUGCAAAACUGCAAACUCAGAUGGAUCAGGAUGAAGGAACUAAAUAUAGACAGAUGAGGGAUUACUUGUCUGGGUUUCAGGAACAGUGUGAUGCUAUACUGAAUGAUGUGAACAGUGCUCUGCAGCAUCUCCAGUCCUUGCAGAAACAGUAUCUUUUUGUGUCCAAUAAGACAGGAACUCUUCAUGAAGCCUGUGAACAGCUCCUAAAGGAACAGUCGGAGCUUGCUGAUCUUGCUGAGCACAUCCAACAGAAGCUGUCUUAUUUUAAUGAGUUGGAGACGAUUAACACAAAAUUGAAUUCCCCUACGUUGUCUGUGAAUAGUGAAGGAUUUAUCCCUAUGUUGGCCAAGUUAGAUGAUUGUAUAACAUAUAUUUCAUCUCAUCCUAAUUUUAAAGAUUAUCCUGUAUACUUACUGAAGUUUAAACAAUGUCUUUCUAAAGCUUUGCACCUCAUGAAGACAUAUACUGUGAACACACUGCAGACUCUCACAAAUCAGUUACUAAAAAGGGACCCCUCAUCAGUCCCUAAUGCAGACAAUGCCUUCACACUAUUUUAUGUGAAAUUUCGAGCUGCUGCCCCUAAAGUCAGAACUCUAAUUGAACAGAUAGAGCAACGAUCUGAAAAGAUACCCGAAUACCAGCACCUUCUCAAUGACAUCCACCAGUGUUACCUUGAUCAGCGAGAGCUCCUUUUGGGCCCAAGUAUUGCCUACACUGUCACAGAGUUAACCAGCCAGAACAACAGAGACCAUUGUGCCUUGGUUCGCAGUGGCUGUGCCUUUAUGGUCCAUGUCUGCCAAGAUGAACACCAACUUUACAAUGAAUUUUUCACAAAGCCAACAUCAAAAUUAGAUGAGCUAUUGGAGAAAUUGUGCGUGUCGUUGUAUGAUGUGUUCCGGCCCUUGAUCAUCCAUGUCAUUCACUUAGAGACUUUAUCAGAGCUCUGUGGGAUUCUUAAAAAUGAAGUGCUUGAAGACCACGUACAGCACAAUGCUGAACAACUGGGGGCAUUUGCAGCUGGAGUAAAGCAGAUGUUGGAAGAUGUACAAGAGAGGCUUGUGUAUCGAACCCAUAUCUACAUUCAGACGGACAUCACAGGCUACAAACCAGCGCCUGGAGAUCUGGCAUAUCCUGAUAAGCUAGUCAUGAUGGAGCAAAUCGCGCAGAGUUUAAAGGAUGAGCAGAAGAAGGCGCCUUCAGAGGCUUCCUUUUCAGAUGUACGGUUAGAAGAAGGAGAAGCCAGUGGUUUAAGGAAGUCUGGUUCAGCAGACUCCCUCAAUCCUAGACCACAGACGACGAUCUCUCCAGCAGAUCUUCACGGCAUGUGGUAUCCCACAGUUCGAAGGACGCUUGUCUGCCUCUCCAAAUUAUAUAGAUGCAUAGAUAGGGCCGUGUUCCAAGGAUUAUCACAGGAAGCCUUGUCUGCCUGCAUACAGUCCUUGCUAGGAGCAUCAGAGUCUAUCAGCAAAAACAAGACUCAGAUUGAUGGACAACUUUUCUUAAUUAAACACCUUUUGAUUCUUCGAGAACAAAUUGCUCCAUUUCACACUGAAUUCACCAUUAAGGAAAUUUCCCUGGACCUCAAGAAAACUAGAGAUGCAGCAUUUAAAAUCCUGAACCCUAUGACUGUUCCACGAUUUUUUAGGCUGAAUAGCAACAAUGCCCUGAUAGAGUUCUUGUUGGAGGGGACUCCUGAGAUCAGAGAACAUUAUCUUGACUCUAAGAAGGACGUAGACCGGCACCUGAAGUCAGCCUGUGAGCAGUUCAUUCAGCAGCAGAGCAGGCUGUUUGUAGAACAGCUGGAAGAGUUCAUGACAAAGGUAUCAGCAUUAAAAACCAUGGCCAGCCAGGGAGGCCCCAAGUACACCCUCUCACAGCAGCCGUGGGCACAGCCAGCAAAGGUCAAUGACCUCGUGGCCACUGCCUACAAGACAAUAAAGACGAAGCUGCCGCUGACACUGAGAAGCAUGGCUUUGUAUUUGUCCAAUAAGGACACGGAGUUCAUCUUGUUUAAGCCUGUCAGGGUGAGUGGGUGGGAGUUCGCUGCCUGGCGACCUAAGUGUGCUUUUCUUACUAGCAAGUUCUCUUCCUAUAGACAUUGCAAAGUGUUAGUGAGGUUGGUAUUUGCUGUGAUCUCAGAGGCUUCAGAGCCUGAUCUAUCUGGUUAUAUCUUAUGCCUCACCCACUUUGUCUUGAUAUUUUUGUUCAUUUUAAAGGUAGAAAUUAAUAAAUAAGCAAAAAAAUAGAUCCGCACAUUGCACUGUGGUUCAACACUGGGAGAGCAGCAUUUCAGAAUUUAUGCCCCGUUUUACUCGUGAGUAGAGGAAAUAAAUGGCUUGCAACAGCCACCAAGGGAUUAACGUGUCAGAGCAGAUUUAAGUCUCAUAACUUCCAGUUCGUGUUGAGUUCAUGGCUUUACCCAAGGCAUGGUUGAUUUUUUUUUUUUAAGUGCAUUUUAUGUGUCUCGAAGCUUUAUUAUCUUUUGUGUAAGAAAUUGCUGAAGACUUAUUAUUCUUGGGGGUGGGGGUAAGAUAUAUGCGAGUUUAAUGUUUCCAGGAAUUAUCCAAUCAGUCUCCAUCAGGUUGUGCUAGCAUGUAAAAUAUUAAAGUACAAAUUACAUGUCUUUGGUAAUCUCAUAAAAAUAUAUUUCCUCCACUCAUUUUGGCAAGAACCAUGAUGAUUUAAUACUCUCAGUGUUUCUUGUUUAUAGUGUGUGCAUACAUCCCUGGGUUGUCUGAUAUGAUCUCUCCUCCUUUCUAAGAAUAACAUUCAGCAAGUCUUCCAGAAGUUCCACGCUCUGCUAAAGGAAGAGUUCAGUUCUGAAGAUAUCCAGAUCAUUGCCUGUCCCUCCAUGGAACAGCUGAACCUCCUGCUGUCAGUUUCAAAGUAGUCCCAGCGGACCACGCGUGUCAGCAGUCUGUCCCACAGGAGAGGCCUGAGGAGUCCUGCAACCUGCAGGAUGCCCAAGACCCCCAUGUGGGACGGCUCCUGUGGAACAUGGAUGUGCAGCCCGCAGAAGGAAAUCUGGGUGAGCCGGAGAAGAUCAAAAUGCCAAAGACUGACAGCAGGGAUAGCUGCUUCAUUGAACUGGUCUCCAGCAGUGGAGAGAAGUGACAGGGAGCCACGAUUCACAGUGAAAUGUUCCUUCACACAGCUUGUGCAAUAAAGUAGGUUACAGUAGUGACUAGUGUGAUGCACUCAUAGGAACUCAGCUGACUGGAAAGCUGCCGGGUCUCAGCAAGGCAUUCACCCCGGGCAUUCCUCGGACACUGUGACUUGGAGAACUCUUCCUUCUGUGUCCCGAUGCAGAGCUUCUCAUGCUGGGUCGAGCGAGGUUGAGUUGGAAUAGGAUGGUUGCUGCCAAGAAGGCAUCUAGCUUUUCCUGGACUCAGGCUGUCAUCUUUCUGUGGGCUGACACGAGGCAGGGGCAGUUGCGAGAAGCCAAGGCCUCCUGUAAGGCUCCUUGAACUGCAUCCUCCUCACCAGAGAGGUGUAUCUUGAUGAUGGGGAUCGCCACAGUGCUGGCAGCAGCGUGUGAGUGGGAGUGAGCCGUGAAGAGGUUUUAGCCUGGCGAGGCUGGAGAGGAGGCGGGCGGCCUGUGGGGAGUGGCUCGUGGGUGGAGCUUAGUUGCAGUCAUUCUUUAUAAAGUGAAUACUCUUUGGUUGCCUGUGUUGUCCUAGACACUAGCCUUCUGGCGUCCCCAGUCCUGCCAUAGCUGAACACCUAAGUGUGGCAAACACUGCCUGUACCUUAAAUAUGACACCAGUCAAAAGUCAAAGGACUAUAAGCAUCUGUGAAUUUCCCUCCAAAUUCCCCUUUGAAUUUGGGAUUGGAUUGGCUUUGACCCUGGUGUUACAAUAAAUGUAGCCUGUUUCUUGGUUCAGUUACUCAGACCGUCGUCUGUAGGGUGGGACAGUGCUGAGGGCUCUGAAAUAGGGCAGAUGACCUCAUGGUGCAGGUGAAGGGGCAGGAACAGCCUCUUGCACAGUGUGCACAUGGGUGACCCAUCCCGAUGCAACAGGCCAUUGUUUCUCAGCCCAGUUUAAAUUGGUGGUGGCUGUUGCUUGGUAGAGCAUAUUACUCUGUAUUUUGGGAAACUCAAAGGUAAGAGGGUCCAUAUUUUUUCUUUGCUAUGAAAUGAAUGAGUUAGGAAGAUUGUACUUACUAUUUUAAAUACAUGUCUUAUGUGAUAAACUGUAAUCUCCAGUUCUGUGUAUUAUAUGUACAUUGGGUGUUCAGAUAGCCUUUCCAAAGAAGCGAGGACGUGACCAUUGUACAGUGCCAUGGCUCAGCAGUCUGAUGUACAGAGCAGGACUUGUUCGAGGACUCUUGUAGUGCUUUGAUUUGUUUGUUUCUGAAAACACUCACAUACCUUACCAACUGCCGGGAGGGUGGGACUGAUCCAGUUUGUUUGCUGAAUGAAUAUUUGUUUAAAUCUGUACAGUUUCACGUGUUUACUUAUACAGAGUGUACAUACUUUGAAAUAAUUAAUUUAAAAUGCUUUAUAUUAUUUAGCUAGAAAUUGCCGUUUUUAAUAAAUAAAUUUUUUUAAAAAAUAAAGAUCUUUGCUUCCU
Mus caroli (Ryukyu mouse) is the source of this 5019-nucleotide non-coding RNA. NCBI's taxonomy places the organism in Eukaryota, Metazoa, Chordata, Mammalia, Rodentia, Muridae. The record is from RefSeq and is a predicted model, not a curated record.